Lotus japonicus is the source of this 2726-nucleotide RNA transcript. RefSeq lists it as uncharacterized. The transcript is spliced from 10 exons. The record is from RefSeq and is a predicted model, not a curated record. NCBI's taxonomy places the organism in Eukaryota, Viridiplantae, Streptophyta, Magnoliopsida, Fabales, Fabaceae.
UCCCUACCAUAUGUUGGAUGUUAAUUCAAUAGUUUGGGAAGCUAAGGUAUGAGCCACUACAUUGGCUUGUCUCCUAACUGCAGAAAAACAAAUUGAGUGGAGUAUAGAUGCUAGCUGUCUACAAUCAGUGAUAGCCUUUACCACUCCCUCAGUGUCGGAUUCCACUACCCGACAUUCAAUUUCCAACUCCAAAGCCAAACGCAAACUCCAUUGCAGAGCCACCGCCUCUGCAACCGUCAGAUACAAGCGUUGUUGCUCUUCGCUGGAGGCUGCCUCGAGAAAGUUGCCCGUCGAGACUCGAGGACCGGAUCACCAUCCCAAAACCAGAGGAGAAAGAGCCUUACCAGCCUCAUAAUCUUCUAUCCUACAAUUGAAGGAUUUAAAUUCACUGUUCAUGGCCAACUAUUUUUUUUGGACGGGAUAACUAUUGGGCUGGGCCUUGCUGAGAUCAUAGCCUAAACCCUUGCGUGACACCUACUUCAUCAUCCUCUGAUAUCCUUUUCCCCUAAUAGCUACCUCUGCUCCUACAUACAAAGCUAUUGUCUAAACCAUCUGCCCAUAAAAAACCUAUGAUGUACUUGUCGUUGUUUCUGGAGCAUGCCAUAGAAUAGAACUCGCGAAUUCCUCCUCUUCCUUGCCUUUUUCCUCCUAUUCUAUUCCUAUGCCAGACGCUUGACGUACAUUCAACUCGCGAUGAUGUCCUUUACAGCUUCUCAAUCUACACUCUAUGCUAUGUACCCUAUUACUCUGUGUUGCUUUACAGACAUGUGAAUCUAUGCCUUUUCCCUUCAAUUCGUAUGUUUAGGGGUAAAUGGGCAAAUGAUGCCAGCGUUCUAUUAAUACUACAGCUUCGUUGCUGAUCUCCCCACACUUUCUAUACUUAUUCUGCUGCUUUGUUUUGACUUAAAGCAUGAUGAGUAUGCUACUGUGUGUUUCUCUUUCGUUUUUACUGCCAUUGAAUGUCGCUUCACAAUUUCUGCCGUAGAGGUGCCGCAUGUUUCCGACUUCAAUGAUGAAUGAUGAGUGUUUUCAUUUGUACUAUGAGAUGCUAUGCGGGAGUCUUUACUUAUCCAUUUUCAAAUCAAACAUGACCUUUGUGAACCAAAUCUUUCAUUUUUCUUUUACUCUAACAUUCUUCUUAUGUUGUUUUUCUGUUUAGGUUCAUGAUAGGAACUGAAAUGUACUAAAGAAAUGACACCCUCCAGAUGCAAAACCACAAGCUUGUGUUAAGCCUUGGAACUGGCGUCAAUGGUUUCACUCUUGACCCGGCUCUUUGUGAGUUUAUCCUGACUCACCCUGACAUUAAGGUCCCAAAGAAAGGCAAGAUUUAUUCUGUGAAUGAAGCAAAUGCCAAAAACUAGGAUGCUCCUACUGCCACAAUGUGAAGACACUAAUGUUGCAGUAAAGAUUGCAUUAAGAACUCCAGUUCAGUAAAGAAUGCAAUACAUUUCAUGAGAACAUCUUCUAUUAUAUACUUUAAUUUAAACCCACCCUAUUGACAUGAUCUCAUGGAGCUUAAUGCGAUUGGAUCCGAGCACAAAUGGCAAUGGGUUUUGCUAGGAGUCUUGGCUCGACCACAAUUCUCUUGGCUAGAUAUUGGAGGAUCCUUACAGCUCUGCAAAUAGCUUGGGCCAAAGAGUUAGAUACAUGAUGAUGGAAUGUUGGUACCAGUUGAGGAGAGAAUAUCAGCUUCAACAGUAUGUCCUCCCUCGGGUGUGAUCAGAAAAUAUUUUCUGUGAAGUUAACAUGCCCGAUGAGACAAAACAAAUAUCAAGUUACACAAGUGGAGGGACAUUUGGAGUUUUGGACACAAAUCCACUUAGGUUGUAUCAUUUUUACGAAAGCCGUUGGUGUUCGUUUGUAACCGCAAAUACUCACUCUGCGUCUGCGAAUGAAGUUUGUGAGGUUGAAAGAAGGUGCGAACAAGCCCUCAGCAAGGCAAAGCAAUUAUAUAUACCCCAUGAUAAGUUAUUAAAUAAGCUAAAGCAAGGGGAAAAAUAAAGAAAACUUGGUGAAAGCUAAUAAGCGUGACAAGGAUGUCAUGAUAAGUUCUCAUGACAAAUCAACUUGAUUGGUAUUGAAUCAACUCUGUCUCAUGUUAGUGAAGUUGACACUCAUCUUGGUGGAAAAGGAAGUGAUAUUGAGAGAAAGCAUGAAUCAACACCUUCACCAAGCAAACAACCACCAACUGGUUCCAAGAAAUCUGUUUCAUAGGGUGAGGAUAUUGAAAUUUUGGUAUUAACACAUCUGGAAGCUGCGGUAAAUUAGGAACGAAAUAGAAGAUGAAUUCAGGAGUGAGGAGCAAUGAAUAAGGGAAGCAAUUGAUUCAAUGAUCGAGAAACCAACCUGGGGAGCUUUCUCAAUGAGUUCCUGAACGUAGUUCUCGCCGAAGCAUCGAUGUCCAGCAUCGUACACCUGUUGAAGGUCAGAAACAGGCUUCGUCUUGCUCGCAGCCACCACCCGGAUCUCCUUCACGUCCCUCCCAGAUCGCUCCGCUGCCUGUUGGACGCGUUCCAGCACCACCGCCUUCAACGAUGGCGAUUGGCCGCCGUCUGUGGUGGCUGAUGAUGCUAUUUUCUUCCUCUCCUCCACCAACCUCUGCAGUAAGCACAACACAUAUAUAAAAUGAACUUAACACCCCGUGUUAAUUAGUUGUUGCCAACCACUUAUUAGCACAUUUUGUGUUAAAAUAAUGGGUUUAAUAUGUUUUUAGUCCCUGUAAAAUA